UAGUCGUGACUGAGAGGUCGAUCGACCACAUUGGGUCUGAAAAAACCCCAAUGCGUUUUAGUACAGCAGUGAGGAAUAUUGGUCAAUGGCCGAAAGGCUGAACCAGUAACUUGGAAGAAUGAAAGUGUAUUAUAAUAAUACAAUAACGAUUCUCUCGUAUAAAAUUCUAAAUAGAAUAAUGAUAAUGCCGAUUUUCUAUUUAUAAGUCUUGACCAAACUACGUGCCAGCAGUCGCGGUAAUACGUAGAAGACUAGUGUUAGUCAUCUUUAUUAGGUUUAAAGGGUACCUAGACGGUAAAUUAAACUCUAAAUGAGUACUUUUUUACUAGAGUUUUNUGUAAGAAGGNNGAAUUUCUGGAGUAGUGAUAGAAUGUGAUACCAGAGAGACAGGUAACGGCGAAGGCAACCUUCCGUGUAAAAACUGACGUUGAGGGACGAAGGCUAGGGUAGCGAAAAGGAUUAGAUACCCUUGUAGUCCAAGCAGACAAUGAUGAAUGCCAUAGACUAGAUAUAUAUUUAGUUCAUAAAUGAAAAUGUAAGCAUUCCACCUCAAGAGUAAUA
This 561-nucleotide ribosomal RNA is filed under the name Aspergillus ustus. It matches the Rfam family "Bacterial small subunit ribosomal RNA", at positions 284 to 885 of the family's 1533-position model. Lineage: Eukaryota; Fungi; Ascomycota; Eurotiomycetes; Eurotiales; Aspergillaceae. The record is from RNAcentral.